UUCAAUAACAAAAGAAAUACGAACCUGAAUUAGAAAUGGAGCUGUUAAGCCUGAAUUAGAAAUGGAGCUGUUAAGCCUGAAUUAGAAACAAUAGCUGCUGCCUGCUGAGCCUGAAUUAGAAAUUAAGAAAAUGAUGAGGAUCGCAGAAACUGCAAAAAACGAAGAAACAAAGAAACUAACAAAACCAAUAAAACGAAGAAAGGAUGGUGAGCUCUGACCUGAUGCGACCUCAGAUUGAGACGAGAUGCGACCUCCGACCUGAUGGCUGCGAUGCGACCUGAGGGCUGAGAAGUGAGACCUGAUGGUGAGCUUGUGCGACCUCCGACCUGACCUGAGGGCUGAGAUUAGAGAGAAAUGGAGCGGCGCCGGCGGCCGUAAAAAUGAGAGUGAGAGGAGAGUGUGAAAUGGAGCGGCGAGGAGAGUGAGAGGAGAGUGUUGAGCUGAGAUUAGAGAGAAAUGGAGCGGCGGCCGUAACAAAGAGAGAGUGAGAGGAGAGUGUUGAGACUUGAGAGAAAUGGAGGAGCGGCGGCACCGUACGGUACGUAAGAGAGAGUGAGUGAGAGAGAGGAGAGUGU
Molecule: long non-coding RNA, 575 nt
Filed under: Medicago truncatula (barrel medic)
Lineage: Eukaryota; Viridiplantae; Streptophyta; Magnoliopsida; Fabales; Fabaceae
Description: long non-coding RNA (MTRU_LNC002796)
Source: RNAcentral